Molecule: long non-coding RNA, 276 nt
Organism: Phragmites australis (common reed)
Lineage: Eukaryota; Viridiplantae; Streptophyta; Magnoliopsida; Poales; Poaceae
Exons: 3
Source: RefSeq, a predicted model, not a curated record
CUUGAACAACCGCACUAGGGUUGAGCCGUAUACCUUGCAAAUUCAAUUUCCGCUCUAUCCGAAGCACCUCAUGCCAAUCCAUGAAGUGUACCGACGUCCAAACAAGACGUUUGUAGAUGUAGCCGGAGUUGUUGUGCACUGGUGUGAACUUGAGCACGUUGGUCACAGAAAAACCUAUAGAGAGGUCAUACUAAUGGACACAAGGUUCAACCUGAUAGUUGUUGGAAUUUGGUGUGAGCUUUUAGAGCGGUAUGCGGUAAGCUUGCAAUCUGCGGG